RNAcentral lists this transfer RNA (62 nucleotides) under Hyriopsis bialata. Its description in RNAcentral is "tRNA-Asn". The record is from RNAcentral. Lineage: Eukaryota; Metazoa; Mollusca; Bivalvia; Unionida; Unionidae.
UGGGUAAAAGCUUCUUAGCAGCUGACUGUUAAUCAGCAAACAGCGAAACUUUCGCUUACCCA